CACCUGCCCUGGCCUGUGCUGUCUUUCCCCCAGCCAAGGAAGCUCAUGCCUGGGCACUCUGGGCAGCGGCCCAGCCUUUCACAUCCAGGUCCAGGGCCAAGAGACAUGGGCCAACAGCUGGCAGUAUGCAGAAGGAGCCUGGAGGCUUCCACAGCAGAUGAAUCACCACGGAUUAAUAUUUAACUCCAGACUCCUGCUCCCCUCUAGCGUCCCCCUCCCCCUUCUCUCUUCUUACCACCUUCCUUCUCCCUGUAUCCAUCACUCCAUCCCCCAGUCCUGCAGCCUUUCAGCAGGUUCCUCUCGGCCACCCUUCUACUGCACCAUCAUCAUCGUCCAGCAUGAUGUCCAAAACCACUGUGAGUUUCAGCGGCAAGAGGUGUAGUUUGAGUUGUCACGACAACCUGCGCCUGGCUCAUGGCUGCCUUCCAAGUGCAGACAAAGCUGUCGUCGAAUGAACCAGGCGUGUGUCCACCGGACCUGAGGGGUGCCGCCACCGCUAACAAAACACACAAAGACCCUCGCCCCUGGCACUGGCCCUCACCCCGUCUACCCGCUAUCCUGUCCCUCCCACACUCGGCUGCCUGCUGCUUUGUGCCUGCUCCAAGAAGAGGAAGUUCCUCUCAUCUCCUU
Molecule: long non-coding RNA, 630 nt
Organism: Etheostoma spectabile (orangethroat darter)
Lineage: Eukaryota; Metazoa; Chordata; Actinopteri; Perciformes; Percidae
Exons: 3
Source: RefSeq, a predicted model, not a curated record